AGUUUAUCAUUUUAACUUCACAGAGACCAACAUCAGACCCAGCUAGAAAACCUUCUUAUACUUAUGUUUUAAACAACCAGUAGAGAUGAAAAUACGUCUGGUUUGUGGGCUAUGGAUGCUGCUUAGUCUUUACACUGCAAAUGCCAUCUGGUGCCACGAAUGUGCUAAACGACUGACACAGGGGGGCUGUCCUCGCAUACAUGAAUUCUGUUGGGCAGAUGAAACAGAAGGAUGCUACACUCAUGUGAUCUCUCUUGGAACAGUAACAACAAAGUCUGAAGCAGGUUGUGUCCCAGAUUGUGUUAGCAGAAGAAUCAGCCAACCCCUCUUGCAGAGCAUGUUCACUUGCUGUUUCACAGACUAUUGCAAUGAAUAGUUUUGGUUUCGAAGAGCAAAAAGCUUGGAAGAAGAAAGUGCUUGCUGUCAAGACAUCAGAAGUGCUGUGCCGCUCUUGCUCCUCUCACUUCUGUUCUGCUUUGGACUUAGCAUUCUGCAAGAAGAAUAUGUAGCCAAUAUAACCAAAUGAGCAAUGUACUGUAUUCUCUUGUCUAUUUUGUUGUCAUAAUCAGGAUCUUUGCAAUUAAAUCAGAGAGGAUGAAGGGG
Molecule: long non-coding RNA, 603 nt
Organism: Anolis carolinensis (green anole)
Lineage: Eukaryota; Metazoa; Chordata; Lepidosauria; Squamata; Anolidae
Exons: 3
Source: RefSeq, a predicted model, not a curated record